GCCAACGUAGCUCAGUCGGUUAGAGCGGGCGUUUCAUACGCGCCAGGUCGCUGGUUCGAUUCCAGCCGUUGGCACCA
RNAcentral lists this transfer RNA (77 nucleotides) under bacterium. RNAcentral describes it as "tRNA-Met". It matches the Rfam family "tRNA". From Rfam's summary of the family: Transfer RNA (tRNA) molecules are approximately 80 nucleotides in length. The record is from RNAcentral. RNAcentral also lists the same sequence under 2 other names.